RNAcentral lists this ribosomal RNA (460 nucleotides) under uncultured bacterium. Its description in RNAcentral is "partial 16S ribosomal RNA". It matches the Rfam family "Bacterial small subunit ribosomal RNA", at positions 338 to 795 of the family's 1533-position model. The record is from RNAcentral.
CCUACGGGAGGCAGCAGUGAGGAAUAUUGGUCAAUGGACGAGAGUCUGAACCAGCCAAGCAGCGUGAAGGAUGACUGCUCUAUGGGUUGUAAACUUCUUUUAUAUGGGAAUAAAAUGUUCUACGAGUGGGAUUUUGUAUGUAUCAUAUGAAUAAGGAUCGGCUAACUCCGUGCCAGCAGCCGCGGUAAUACGGAGGAUCCGAGCGUUAUCCGGAUUUAUUGGGUUUAAAGGGUGCGUAGGUGGAUUGUUAAGUCAGUUGUGAAAGUUUGCGGCUCAACCGUAAAAUUGCAGUUGAAACUGGCAGUCUUGAGUACAGUAGAGGUAGGCGGAAUUCGUGGUGUAGCGGUGAAAUGCUUAGAUAUCACGAAGAACUCCGAUUGCGAAGGCAGCUCACUGGGCUGCAACUGACGCUGAGGCUCGAAAGUGUGGGUAGCAAACAGGAUUAGAUACCCGUGUAGUC